This 236-nucleotide ribosomal RNA is filed under the name uncultured Lactobacillus sp. RNAcentral's name for it is "partial 16S ribosomal RNA". It matches the Rfam family "Bacterial small subunit ribosomal RNA", at positions 127 to 355 of the family's 1533-position model. The record is from RNAcentral. Lineage: Bacteria; Bacillati; Bacillota; Bacilli; Lactobacillales; Lactobacillaceae.
UGCCCCAUAGUCUGGGAUACCACUUGGAAACAGGUGCUAAUACCGGAUAAGAAAGCGGAUCGCAUGAUCAGCUUUUAAAAGGCGGCGUAAGCUGUCGCUAUGGGAUGGCCCCGCGGUGCAUUAGCUAGUUGGUAAGGUAAAGGCUUACCAAGGCGAUGAUGCAUAGCCGAGUUGAGAGACUGAUCGGUCACAUUGGGACUGAGACACGGCCCAAACUCCUACGGGAGGCAGCAGUC